RNAcentral lists this long non-coding RNA (1648 nucleotides) under Mytilus galloprovincialis (Mediterranean mussel). Lineage: Eukaryota; Metazoa; Mollusca; Bivalvia; Mytilida; Mytilidae. The record is from RNAcentral.
CUUCAAAUGUCAGUCAUAACAUUGCAGUGUGUUUAAUAUUAAGAUUGCAUAUAAAUACUUCUUUUACCGUUUAAUAAUGUUCUUGACAUGCAUUUUUACAGGUUCAUUAAUAAAUGGAACUGUCACCGGGUAUUUUUAGCAUAAAGUGUGCUACUUUCGUGGAUAAAUAAAAAGGAAGUACAGUAAAAUACAAAAGACGAAGAAAUGUAAACCGAGAAGAUCCGAGCUGAAGUCAGAGAACUGACAGUAAAGAUAUAACAUACGUUCUAGAGGUAACAAUUUAUGAAAACAAUGUUGGUACAUUAUUAUAUUUUUUCUAUAUUUUUAAGGUCGUUUUCGACAAAAACAUAUAUAACCAGAGCCUCACAAGUUUAAUUUUGCCAUUUACUUUCAUUUUAGGCUGACUUGGUUGAAAGUACGGGGAACUAUUGCCAUCACUAUGCUUUGAUAGUAUAAAUUUGUUCAUUCAAGUUUCAUAUUCAAUUGUUCUUUAAAACAAAUACCUGUUUUUACCCACAGUUGCAUAAAAACAGUUUUAAUCAAAUGUCUCAUUGUUGUUAAUAUUUAAUUGAGAUAAGUCAUUAAAGGCUCUUGAAAGCUACAAUAGUUAUAAGUCAAACAUAAAGAUAUAAAGAUGUUGUUAAUUGCCUAUGAGACAACUUUCCACAAAAGACCACAAUGACAUAUGAUAGUACUAUCUUUGACUAUUGAGUACAUUGUUAGCACAAGUAGAAACAGUCGGACUAAAACUAUAUGUGAAAUAAGCCAAAUUAUAUCGAAAAUGGAGUAUAGUUAGUAGGCAGUAUAAGUCAAAUAAUAAGAAUUGACAACUAUGUUCUAGGCUUUGACGAAGAUGUAACUUACCAACUAGGAGACAUUUCACAUUGGAAACAAAAGAUUGCGGCGGAAAACUUCAAUAUUAUUAUACUUGAUCUUGAAACCACCGGCUUGUGUAUGUAUUCUAUAGAAGAAAUUUCAGUGUAUCUGAGACAUAAUUAAUCAAACAAACUCUACUGGUGUGCACAUCUUCAUUUAUAUAUAAUUACAUUACAUACAAAUAUGUAAUGGAAGAUGUACUGUGGAUUCAUUAUUUAUCAUGGAUGUCAAUCAUCAUGGAUUUCUUUGUAACAUGUGAACCACGAAACUAAAUGCAAAACAAAGCCUUAAACAAUGAGCAAAAUGCAUACCCCAUAGUCAGCUAUAAAAGGCAGCGGAAUUACAAAUGUAAAACAAUCCAAAAAAAGAGCUAACGACCUGAUUUAUGUACAAACCAAUACGUUAAUUUGAUUUUUUGAAGAAGAUAACAAUUUGAAAAUGUAAUAUAGUUACUAGUACAUGUAUUCAAUUUGAUUAAAGGAUUUUUUUUUAUUUCAGUUUGAUUAAAGGAUUUUUUUUUUAUUUCAGCUCGACAUAGGGAUAUUGUACAAAUGACAGCAGUUAUACUGAACAUGAAACUUUAUCAGCUUGUUCGAUGCCAUAAAAGAAGAUAAAAUCAUAAACAUCUAAUAUAAUAAAACUUGCAAGCUUGUGUGGACUAAUGUACCAUGAUGAAGUUACUGUGAAAGGCUCACAUAUCUUAUUCCUUUUAUUUUAAGUUUGUAUCUUAACCAACACUUGUUUGACAAAAUAUUACAACUUUUUCUUGUCA